GGAAGGGCCGCGGCUGCCGGAGCUGCCGCCGCCGGGCUCGGCCUGCGGUGGGGCUCGCAGGAGCGCUUGUUACCCACUAAAAUCGCAUUCGUUGCCCAGUGUAGAACAAGGGAAUCAUCUCAAGAGUUGCGCAAGCCUGGGUGCGCGGUGUUACUCCACAAACCAAGCACGGCAAUUAACAAAACUUUUUACUAUUUAUACAUUCUAGCCGACAAAGAAAUUCGUGUUCAUUGGCUACAAGUUACACGGUUCUCUUAAUUAUCAAAAUUCUAUCAAUAUCAGUGGACAUCCUUCUUCCCAGGCUUUGCUAACCUUCCCAUAGGUCUGAGGUCAGUGGAACAUGUCAAGCCCCAACCCGUGACAAGGCUUGAAAGCAUACAAAGAUCAAACAAAGAACCACCUUUCUUAGGAAAAGUGUACAUAGCGACGCUGGCUCUGCAGAGGGGCAUGCCCAGCACUCCCGCAGUCCCAGCCAAAGCUGAUCCUACAGACAGAGAUGCUACAAACACACACAUGAGGAAAAUGUUCCUGCAGCACACAACGGAGUCAUAAGGUACGCAAGAAAAAAGUCCAGAACGUGCCCCAACCUGCUAUGAUGGGCACAGUGACACAGCUCUUCAAGUACUUCAAACUGGACAACCUGGCAAUGGUGGAAUGUCAAGAAGAAGAAAGCCCUGGAAUUAGGGAGUAUUGCACAGCAUAUGUGGGAAGACAGCUCAUCUAAAACCCCCUAGAACAAGAGCAAUUCCAUCAGAUGGGAAGAAGACAAAAGAAGCCAGUGGAAAUGUGGAAAUCAGAUUUUAAAAAUCGGAAGCAACUUUUAAAAUCUCAGAAAAGAAGACACCAAAGUAACCAGAGAAAAAGACAAAACAAACCAAGCAGUCCUGAGCAUUGAGGGAGAUUAGAGGUUUUGCCAUAGAUCUCUUGGCUGGUUGGUGACCCAGUGGAACUGGUGGGGGGAAGAUGUAGAUUUUUUUUCCCCUCCCCCUUUGCAGGGCUACAUUAGGUCAAAGUCAGGUUGAGGAAAUUAAACCAGUAGUGUCCAAGUAUUAAGAGAAAUAACUGUUAGGUACCACACUUGAUUUUCAUUGAGCAGCAUUUCAUUGUGCAGAUUUCAGUAGCAGUAAUGAGCUAAAGUAGCUAUUACUCCAAUUUUUCUUCUUUUAGUUUUAAUUGUAUCCAAAAUCACAGAUUAUUCAAGUAAAAUGUCAUACAAACCUUUAUUUUCCCUUUGGCUUAUGAUACUAGAAUGUAUAAAGUUGGUAAACUGUUUUCUUCCCUCAGCACUUUCUGAUCACAAAUUAAUAGAAGAAUUUGAAAGACAGUAAUUAUGUAACUGUUCUUGUACUUUUGUAUCAUCCUGAAACAGGAAGAGCACAUUCUCUUCCAAAAUCAUGCUCUGAGAAAACUCCUAGCUUGCAGAAACUGCAUACAUGCAUGUUAGAAAUAAUGGCAAAGCACUUUAAUCAUUCAGAUAAUAAUUCAAUUAAUUAUCACAGAAUAGCCUGGGUUGAAUGGGACCUUAAAGAUCACCUAGUUUUAAGAAAAGUGUUUUGAAGAGCUGCCAGCUCUGGUCAGCUUCUUUAUCUUUAAGGACAAUUUUCCAGGGAGUCUUAUUCAGCAACUCCUAAACAACUGGAAGUCUGUUCUUUCAAAUUCAGGGCCCUGACUUAGCUCCUUGCCAGGCUCACAAUCCUCACAAACUCCACCAGAGAGUAGUCAUUACAGUCCACGCUGCCACCAAUCUUAGCCCCUCUAAUGAGCUCAUCUGCAUUGGGAAGCACCAGCUCCCAUAAUCCUUCUCUUCUGCAAUGCCUGCACCAGGAAAAUGUCUCUACACACUCCAGGAGUC
This is a long non-coding RNA of Haemorhous mexicanus (house finch), 1852 nucleotides long. RefSeq lists it as uncharacterized. The transcript is spliced from 3 exons. NCBI's taxonomy places the organism in Eukaryota, Metazoa, Chordata, Aves, Passeriformes, Fringillidae. The record is from RefSeq and is a predicted model, not a curated record.